GAUGAACGCUAGCUACAGGCUUAACACAUGCAAGUCGCGGGGCAGCAUGGGGGUUGCUUGCAAUCCCCGAUGGCGACCGGCGCACGGGUGAGUAACGCGUAUCCAACCUGCCCUUCACCACGGGAUAACCCGGCGAAAGUCGGACUAAUACCGUAUGUUGUCCAUUGACGGCAUCCGAUUUGGACGAAAGGUUUGGCGGUGAAGGAUGGGGAUGCGUCCGAUUAGCUGGACGGCGGGGUGACGGCCCACCGUGGCGACGAUCGGUAGGGGUUCUGAGAGGAAGGUCCCCCACACUGGAACUGAGACACGGUCCAGACUCCUACGGGAGGCAGCAGUGAGGAAUAUUGGUCAGUGGGCGUAAGCCUGAACCAGCCAAGUAGCGUGCAGGAUGACGGCCCUAUGGGUUGUAAACUGCUUUUAUGCGGGGAUAAAGUGGCCCACGUGUGGGUUUUUGCAGGUACCGCAUGAAUAAGGACCGGCUAAUUCCGUG
This 490-nucleotide ribosomal RNA is filed under the name uncultured bacterium. RNAcentral's name for it is "partial 16S ribosomal RNA". It matches the Rfam family "Bacterial small subunit ribosomal RNA", at positions 28 to 507 of the family's 1533-position model. The record is from RNAcentral.